AUUGAACGCUGGCGGCAGGCCUAACACAUGCAAGUCGAACGAGUGGCGGACGGGUGAGUAAUGUCUGGGAAACUGCCUGAUGGAGGGGGAUAACUACUGGAAACGGUAGCUAAUACCGCAUACCAUCAGAUGUGCCCAGAUGGGAUUAGCUUGUGGGGGGGGUAACGGCUCACCAAGGCUACGAUCCCUAGCUGGUCUGAGAGGAUGACCAUCCACACUGGAACUGAGACACGGUCCACACUCAUACGGGAGGCAGCAGUGGGGAAUAGUGCACAAGGGGAGCAAGCCGGAUGCAGCCAUGCCGCGGGUAUGAAGAAGGACUUCGGGUUGUAAAGUACUUUCAGCGGGGAGGCGUUACCCGCAGAAGAAGCACCGGCUAACUCCGUGCCAGCCGCCGCGGUAAUUC
RNAcentral lists this ribosomal RNA (406 nucleotides) under uncultured bacterium. Its description in RNAcentral is "partial 16S ribosomal RNA". It matches the Rfam family "Bacterial small subunit ribosomal RNA", at positions 30 to 526 of the family's 1533-position model. The record is from RNAcentral.